GACGAACGCUGGCGGCGCGCCUAACACAUGCAAGUCGAGCGAUGAAAUUUUAACCGAUCUCUUCGGAGAGAAGAUAAAAUGGAUUAGCGGCGGACGGGUGAGUAACACGUGAGAAACCUGCCUUUCACAAGGGGAUAGCCUCGGGAAACCGGGAUUAAUACCCUAUGACACAUUUCCUCCGCAUGGAAGAAAUGUUAAAACUCCGGUGGUGAAAGAUGGUCUCGCGCCUGAUUAGCUAGUUGGUGGGGUAACGGCCCACCAAGGCCAUGAUCAGUAACCGGCCUGAGAGGGUGAACGGUCACAUUGGAACUGAGACACGGUCCAAACUCCUACGGGAGGCAGCAGUGGGGAAUAUUGCACAAUGGAGGAAACUCUGAUGCAGCGACGCCGCGUGAGCGAUGAAGGCUUUCGAGUCGUAAAGCUCUGUCCUAUGGGAAGAUAAUGACGGUACCAUAGGAGGAAGCCCCGGCUAACUACGUG
Molecule: ribosomal RNA, 480 nt
Filed under: uncultured bacterium
Lineage: Bacteria
Description: partial 16S ribosomal RNA
Rfam family: Bacterial small subunit ribosomal RNA
Source: RNAcentral